UACGUAGGGUGCAAGCGUUGUCCGGAAUUAUUGGGCGUAAAGAGCUCGUAGGCGGUCUGUCGCGUCGGCUGUGAAAACCCGAGGCUCAACCUCGGGCCUGCAGUCGAUACGGGCAAACUAGAGUUCGGUAGGGGAGUCUGGAAUUCCUGGUGUAGCGGUGAAAUGCGCAGAUAUCAGGAGGAACACCGGUGGCGAAGGCAGGUCUCUGGGCCGAUACUGACGCUGAGGAGCGAAAGCGUGGGGAGCGAACAGG
This 253-nucleotide ribosomal RNA is filed under the name uncultured bacterium. Its description in RNAcentral is "partial 16S ribosomal RNA". It matches the Rfam family "Bacterial small subunit ribosomal RNA", at positions 524 to 776 of the family's 1533-position model. The record is from RNAcentral.